UUGUUAUCCCAUUUAUGCAAAUGACUCAGAAAUUUCCAACCUGGUACCCCCAAAAUAUUAAAUAUGCCAUUUUAGUCAUUUUUUAAAGUAAAGAGAAGGACAAACAUUCCUAAUUGUUCAUCACUAAAUUAAAAUUUUUCUUUCUAGAUGCCAGGACACCAGCAGGAUGAUACCUUUUUAAAAAAUAAGUAUUCAGUGUUUUGAAGCAUUUUGUUUUUGUAUUUAUUCUGAUUUAUUCUACAGUAGGUUUCUGGGGAAAUCUCAAACACUUUUUAUUGCAGGCCAUGAGAAAUGCUAUAUAGGUGUGGAUUUGGAUGGAUGUGAUGUUUGGAAGCAUCCUGGUUCAUUUUUCUUCCUUUGACCAUCCAUGCUGAUUGAGGCAAGAACAGUAUUGAGCUGAUCACUUUGAUUCGUGACAUCUGCUGUGUUUCUCCACCUGAGCCACCUUACCCCAGAUGUGAUCUUCCCCACAGAGAAAAUGCAAAGAGAUAUUGUUGCAACCACCAGUAUCAGUAAAUGCUUUUCACAAAACAGGAAGCUAAAAUAAGGGGGAAAUCUAUCUGCUAUCUUAACACCCUAAAGAGCUUGAAAUGGAUUUUUUGACAUUCAGUGUUUCACUCACUGAGUUCUCCCCACAUUAUUAAUGGUAUGGGAAUUAGGAGGAGGUCAUCUGACUCACAUGGAUCACCAUAUAAUUCCUUCUGGAGAACAGAAAAAAUGCAGAAGAGGAAAACUUCCAUAUGUGAAGCUAUGGCAAGGGAGUCUCCCCACCCCGCGCUCCAACAGAGUCUGGAGAUAAAUACCAGUCCAUAUUCUGCUGCUACCUCCCUCGUUGACCACUUUGACUUCAGC
Molecule: long non-coding RNA, 852 nt
Filed under: Pan paniscus (pygmy chimpanzee)
Lineage: Eukaryota; Metazoa; Chordata; Mammalia; Primates; Hominidae
Description: lncRNA (ENSPPAG00000045077.1)
Source: RNAcentral